Molecule: long non-coding RNA, 8968 nt
Organism: Oncorhynchus keta (chum salmon)
Lineage: Eukaryota; Metazoa; Chordata; Actinopteri; Salmoniformes; Salmonidae
Exons: 3
Source: RefSeq, a predicted model, not a curated record
GUCGGAGUAAUCCUCUCAAGGUUCACUGUUUGUUUUAUUGGUCACAUUACUACUUGUGUUAUCUAAUUUGUGUUCUUUCUUUUUUUUAAUGCCGGAGUUCGUUUUCAGUUCACUCUAUCGUUAGCCUGAAUGCUAGGGGUUUGAGAAAUCCUACAAAAAGGAAAGCUUUAUUUUUUAUAUUGUAAACGUAGUAGCACAGAUUGUGUCAUUCAGGAAGGAAAGUGAUUUUAAACUUUGGAAAGCACAAUGGGGAGAUAUGGCCUAUUUCAGUCAUGGAUCAAAUCAUUCUGCUGGUGUUUUGACACUUCACAAGUUUAAAGGUGACUUUCUAGAAUCCACAUCUCCACAAGACGGGAUAUGGGUCAUAGUAACUGUUAAACUUGACAAUGCUAUUUUCAUCAUCUGUAAUGUAUACGGACAUAACUCACAUACUCCUAAUAAGACCCCUUUUACCCAAUUUACCAGGAAAGUACAGGAUUUAAGCAACACAUACUCAGAGGCUUUUCUAAUUAUUUCAGGGGAUUUUAAUGAAACACCUGAUGCAUCUGCUGAUCGUUUUCCUCCUAGAACGAGUCAAAGCCCCCAAGAUAGUAACAUUAUCGUUACAUUAUGCAAUGAUCUCUGUGUUGAGGAUGUCUGGCGUUAUUUCAAUCCAAAUGCAAAGGGUUAUACCUGUACCAACAACUAUGUCACGUAAAUCUAGAAUAGAUUUAUUCAUAAUGCCCCUCUUUUUGUUACAAUUUAUAGAUGUAGAUCAUCAGUUGGCUCCCUUUUCUGAUCAUCACUUUGAUUUCCCUGAAUUUACAAGCUACUAAAAAAUCAAAAGGUACUCGAGGUUAUUGGAAAUUAAACAACACACUUCUUAAAGAUACUACUCUCAUUGAAAACAUCAAAUCAUUAGCUAAAUAUAUUUUUGCUAGAAAAGACUUGGGUCAUGGAAGUAGAUGGGAAUUUUUCAAAUAUAAAGUGGCCAUUAAACUCGCCAAAGAGCUGAUGCAAUUUAAAGAGCCUAGAGAAAAGGAGCUGAUGAGCAAGCUUGACAGUUUUCUAAAGAAAUAUUAUCUAUCUGAAGAAGAGGAGUCUGUAUUCAAGUCUUUACAACUAGAAUUAGAACAGAUUUACACAGAUUUGGCAAAGGGUGCCUUUGUAAGGUUAAGAGCAUAAUGGAUUGAAGAGGGGGAAAGAAACACUAGUUACUUUUUUGCACUUGAAAAGAGAAACCACAAAAUAAAAUCUAUAACUGCACUCAAAAUUAACUAUGUUUUAUGCAAAGAUCCCAUUAAAAUAUCAUAAUUUGUCAAUUCCUUUUAUGAAAACCUUUACAGCUCUCAAUUUCAGGAAGAUGGUUGUGAAAGCUACAUUUGCCACAUUCAGAAUUCUGGCCCUGUAAUUGAGGAUGAUUUCCACUCAUUUUGCAAUUCACCUGUGUCAAUUGAAGAAAUUAGAGGCUCUGAAUUCAAAGAAAAAAGGGAAAUCACCUGGCCCUGAUGGCCCUGUCAGUUGAAUUCUAUAGACAGUUUUGGGGGUUACUGGAAGACCCGAUUUUCAAUAUGUUUCAAGAUUGCGUUAAAAAUGGGGAAAUGGUCUCCACUAUGAAACAGGGCCUUAUUUCAUUGAUUCCGAAGCCCGAUAAAGACCCUUCUCUUAGACAAUUGGAGACCAAAUGCUUUAUUAAAUAUUGAUUACAAAUUGAUUGCUCUGGUUUAUGCCAACAGAUUAAAGAAAGGAAUAGAUACCAUUAUAAAUGAGACUCAAACGGGACUUAUGAAGGGCCGUCACAUAAACUCUAACAUUCGUUUAUUCUUGGACAGCAGGACGGUGGCCAUGGAAGUCGGAAUCCGCUAGGAGUGUGUAACAACUCACCUGCUGAAUCAACUAGCCCUGAAAAUGGAUGGCGCUGGAGUGGUGCGUCUCCAUGGUUCUCCUUAACCUUUUAUUUAACUUGGCAAGUCGGUUAAGAACAAAUUUUUAUUUUACAAUGAAGGUCUACCCCAGCCAAACCCUAACCCGGAUGAUGCUGGUGAUUGAGACUGCAUCUCUGUCAAUUAGGUUAGUAUUGUGGAGUAACUACAAUGUUGUUGACAGUGGUGUAAAGUACUUAACUAAAAAUAGUACUACUUUAGUAGCUUUUUUGGGGUAUCUGUACCUGACUAUUUAUAUUUUUGACUACUUUUACUUCACUACAUUCUUUAAAAAAAAUAAAGUACCUUUUACUCCAUACAUUUUUCCUGACACCCAAAAGUACUUGUUACAUUUGUAAAGCUUAGCAGGACAGGAAAAUUGAAAAAUUCACGCACUUAUCAAGAGAACAUCCCUUGACAUCCCAACUACCUCUUGUCUGACGGACUCACUAAACACACAUGCUUUGUUUGUAAAUGAUGGCUGAGUGUUGGAGUGUGCCCCUGGCUAUCUGGAAAAAAGGGGUGUCUGGUUUGCUUAAUAUAAGAAUUUAAAAAAUGAUUAAUACUUUUACAUUUGAUACUUAUAUUUUAGCAAUUACAUUUACUUUUAUACUUAAGUAUAUUUAAAACCAAAUACUGUUAGACAUUUACUCAAGUAGUAUUUUACUGGGUGAAUUUCACUUACUAUUUUCUAUUAAGGUAUCUUUACUUUUACUCAAGUAUGACAAUUGGGUACUUUUCCACCGCUGGUUGUUGAUCCACCCUCAGUUUUCUCUUAUCACAGCUGUACCUGUUUUAAAGUCACCAUUGCCCUUAUGGUCAAAUCCCUGAGCGGUUUCCUUCCUCUCCGGCAACUGAGUUAGGAAAGACGCCUGUAUCUUUGUAGUGACGGGGCUCCCGAGUGGCACAGCGGUCUAGCCGGGGUAGGCCAUCAUUGUAAAUAACAAUUUGUUCUUAACUGACUUGCCUAGUUACAAUAAAGGUUAAAUAAAAAAAUAAGUAUUGUUACACCAUCCAACGUGUAAUUAAUAUCUUCACCAUGUUCAAAGGGAUAUUCAAUGUCUGCUUUUACAUUUUGUACCAUCUACCAAUAGGUGCCCUUCUUUGUGAGGCAUUGGAAGACCUUCCUGGUGUUUUGUGGUUAAAUCUGUGUUUGAAAUUCACUGCUCGACUGAGGGACCUUACAGAUAAUUGUGUGUGUGUGGGAAACAGAGAUGAGGUAGUCAUUAAAAAAUCAUGUUAAACACUAUUAUUGCACACAGAGUGAGUCUAUGCAACUUAUUAUGUGACUUGCACAUUUGUAAUCCUGAAUUUAUUUAGGCUUGCCAUAACAAAGGUGUUGAGUACUUAUUGACUCAAGACAUUUCAGCUUUUCAUUUUUUUAUUAAUUUGUAAGCAUUUUCCAAAAAAACAUAAUUCAACGUUGACAUUGUGGGGUAUUGUGUGUAGGCCAGUGACCAAAAAAAAUCUAAAUUAAAUAAAUUACAAAUUUGCGAUGUGACAACAAAAUGUGGAAGAAGUAAAGGGGUGUGAACUUUCUGAAGACACUGUAGGUAGCUAGCUAUAUUUUGAUCUAGGCAAGCUAAUGUAACUAGCUAGCUAGAUACCUCAUUUGAACGUAGUUAGGUCGUAGCUCAUACAAGUUUAUUGUGUAUUAUCUAGAUACUGCUGGUUAUGUAACGUUAUCAUUUGAUAAUGCUAGCAAGGCUGGUUGGCUACAUGCUAGCUAACGUUUGUUAACUAACUAGCUAAUGUUAGCCUACAAGUCGUAUUUGCAAGUUAUUUUGUAGCUCAUACAGGUGUAUUCCAUUUUGUUUAGGGCAAAACUUAAUAAUGGAUGUAGCUAACUCAUGUCUGACUAAUACAGUGAACUAUUGGUGCUUUCAAGGGAACUGGGAGGGGAAAAAACUAGGUCAAACAUGACGUCAGUGAUCUUCAGAUCGGAAAAUCAGAGCACUUAGAAAAAUGCCUGAGUUUGCAACUUGGAAUUUCGAGUUGGAAUACUGUUCAAAAUUACAUUUCCCAAUCGGAGGUAAUUUUUGUCCACACACUCACUAAUUAAUUUCUGGCUACACCACUGAGGUUAGGCAUAAGGUUAUCUGUGUGGUUAAGGUUAGGUUUAAAAUCACAUUUUAAGAAGAGCAAUUGUAGAAAUAGGCGGCCUAUAUGACUUUGUGGCUGUAAUUAUUGACAACCUAGAAUUAUCUUGACCGAGUUACUGCCCUGAUGACACAGACGGCUUCAUCAACAACGGUAAUGUGUGUUAUGUGAAAAGUUGUAUACAAAAUAAAUAUAUCCAGUUUGAAAAACUCAUUUGAAUUACCCAGCCAAGCAGAUACAAGUAGCAGAGUCAUUUUGGUUGUGAAGUACAUUAUCAAAACACUUAGUCCUUUCUUUAUAACAAUGAAAUGUGUUACUUGGCUGUCUAUUGUAUCACGCUGUCCCAGAUCCUACCAGUCAACACCACCUCGUAAGAUGACAAAGUACAUUGCCUGCUGCAGUUGUUCGAGAGAUGUCCAGUUUCAUGCAACAUAGAAAAGACCAGCAAGGGGACCUUCAAACACACAGACAUGCCCUUCCUGUGAGCAUUCCUAUAAAUGGAACAGUGGGGACACUUUAAUCAGUAUCUUUGAGGGGCCAGGAGCUCAUCUAUGCUGCCAUGCCCAUCAAUGGGGUGCUGGCAAAGCACUUACCUCCAGCCUCACUUCUUGCCUGCUUACUAACGGUCGUCAAUGGAGAGGUAGAUGCAUCUAUUGACCCAGCACUAGGAGACUUGCAAGAUGAUGUGAUGUGAAGUCCAGACUUGACAUACGGGCUUCAUACUGAUGUCUCUAAAUGGAGAGAGACCUGGUACUUGGCAUGAAAAUUUUACUAGACAACUUUUACUGGUUGUCUUUUUUUAUUAUUGAAUUGAAUGGUAUCAGUCAAUAUGGGGAGGGAGAAACCUGAAUCCUGAAUCCUGGUGUAUACAGGACACCAUAUAGGAAGGUAUGACCACUCUGACAUGUUUACCAAGGUAGCCGAAUUAUCACCAGACAAAAUGUUGAUAGGCACAGUAUCUGUAUCGGCAGGGAAUGACAAUGAUUGAUGAAAGGUGCACAUUGUUAUAUCAGCAGAACACUGAUUCUAUGGUUUUAUGUAAAGGAUGUUUAUUCUACAUGGACCUGUUACUACAUUUGCAUGUUAUCAAAACACUUAGUUUAGAAUAUCUACACACAUUAUUUUUAUUUACCUUUAUUUAACUUGGCAUUCUUAUUUACAAUGACGGCCUACCAAAAUGCCUCCUGCGGGGAAGGAGGCUGGAAUUAUUAUUAUUUUUUAAAUUCAACACGCAUCACGACAAGAGAGACAACACUACAUAAAGCGAGACCUAAGACAACAACAUAGCAUGGCAGCAACACAUGACAACAAAGCAUGGUAGCAACACAACAUGACAACAACAUGGUAUCAACACAGCAUUUCAGCAGCACAAAACAAGGUACAAACAUUGGGCACAGACAACAGCACAAAGGGCAAGAAGGUAGAGACAACAAUACUAUCACGUAAAGCACAACUGCCAGUAAAAGUGUCCAUGAUUGAUUCUUUGAAUGAAGAGAUUGAGAUAAAACUGUCCAGUUUGAGUGUUUGUUGCAGCUCGUUCCAGUCGCUAGCUGCAGCAAACUGAAAAGACGAGUAACUCACGGAUGUGUGUGCUUUGGGGACCUUGGUAGAACGGGUGUUGUAUGUGGAGGAUGAGGGCUGCAUUAGAUAUCUCAGAUGGGGUGGGGGAGUGAGGUCUAAGGGUUUUAUAAAUAAGCAUCAACCAGUGGGUCUUGCGACGGGUAUACAGAGAUGACCAGUUUACAGAAGAGUAUAGAGUGCAGUGAUGUGUCCUAUAAGGAGCAUUGGUGGCAAAUCUGAUGGCCGAAUGGUAAAGAACAUCUAGCCGCUCGAGAGCAUCCUUACCUGCCGAUCUAUAAAUUACAUUCCCGUAAUCUAGCAUGGGUAAGAUGGUCAUCUGAAUCAGGGUUAGUUUGGCAGCUGGGGUGAAAGAGGAACGAUUACGAUAGAAGAAACCAAAUCUAGAUUUAACUUUAGCCUGCAGCUUUGAUAUGUGCUGAGAGAAGGACAGUGUACCAUCUAGCCAUACUACCAAGUACGUAUAUGAGGUAACUACCUCAAGUUUUAAACCCGCAGAGGUAGUAAUCACACCUGUGGGAAGAGGGGCAUUCGUCUUACCAAACCACAUGGGGGGGGGCAGAUGAGUAUAAGACCUGUAAAUUCAGCAAUUGCAUUCUUCUCAUAUUACUCUGUAGGCUACUAACCUAUUAAAAUAUUCCUACGGCAUUUCUCACCAUACAUCUGCCUGUUGUUAUUGAACUCCACCUGCAGGAGGUUUGUUUGUUGUGAUUGAGGGGGGGAACCGCUGUGGGCAAGGUUCUGACAGAUAGGUGUGUCUUGGUGGCGGCAAGGACACCCCCAAGAAACACCCACAUCAAACCACACCCCCAAGCCAAAUCACAUUUGGCUUCUGUCAUGGCCGCCAGCAUUUGAGGAGCAAGCCAAAAAACGAGCCCAAAUCAACGGGUGCAGUUCCCCUUUAAGUUCUAUCAUUCGUCAUUCAAUUCUAUUACCUAAUAUAUUUUCAAAACAGCCUUUAUUUUAGGGGCCCAAAUGUAAUUUGAUUGUUAAAAAUGUUGAAGGGGAUUCUCGUGUUUUGUUAUUGUUCAAACUCAUCAUUUUACAUUUUGAUACACACAGAGGCUGGGAGGCCUACUGUUGUGGGAGGCAGAAGGUGGCCCCAUCUUGUGGCAGUUAGUUCUAUGACCACCAGACGGCAUGUGAGCUCUCAUUGUUUUUGUUAACCUGCUUGAUGAUGUACACUGAGUAUACCCCCCUACAAGAUGUCAACAGCGUUCCACAGGGAUGCUGGCCCAUGUUGGCUCCAAUGCUUCCCACAGUUGUGUGAAGUUGGCUGGAUGUCCUUUGGGUGGUGGACUAUUCUUGAUACACAGAGGUCAGGUGUUGAGUGUGAAAAAACCCAGCAGGGUUGCAAUUCCUGACACCGAUGCACCUGGCACCUACUACGAUAUCCAAUAAAUAUGUUGUCUUCCCCAUUCACCCUUAAUGGCACACAAACCAUGUCUCAAUUGUCUCAAGCCUUAAAAAUCAUUCUUUAACCUGUCUAAUCCCCUUCAUCUGCACUGAUUUGAAGUGGAUUUAACAAUUGACAUCAAUAAGGGAUCAUAGCAUUCACCUGGUCAGUCUGUCAUGGGAACAGCAGGUGUUCCUAAUGUUUUGUACACUCAGUGUAUAAUUUACACUUUACAAAUUGACUUUCUGUAAGUAAUUUAUAGUUAAAGAAAACCCUAAAUGACAAAAGCAGGGAAAGACCUCAGCCUGACCUGAAAAUACAGUAUUGUCACAAUCAAUUGAACAGGAAUGCAGACUUGCAUAGGCCUACAUGUGACAUAAUACUUUACAGUCCUAAGGGAAUUGAAAAGCGAUAUAAAUGGUAUCCUUUCUCAAAAUACUACUAUUACAACACUACAAUGGCAUACAAUCAGUUUCACCUACAUACUCUCCCGCCCUGCUCCAGUUUAGCUCUCCAUAAAUGAGUGGGGAUUUUAAUUAAUUUCUGCUCAUGAUCUUGAUCUAAUUAAAGCCUUUGUCCCUGCCAUGUCAUUUUCAUAAGCUGCUCCCUCCAAUUACAUAUAACAACCUAGCCCAUUCAGAUAUUAACCUUCUGUGUGAAGUGUCUCUCCUUCCCUCGACUUAUCUACUUGCGCAUUUAAAAAUAAUACAUUGGGAAACUCCAAGAUAAUUCAACCUUUUGUUUUGAAUUCCACGAUAGAGUUUAGCUAUUGUAUCAUUUAUUUCCCAUUUUUCUCUGACAGACUCUUGUAGAUAAAAGAGAAGUUGGUGUGUCAAUUGUCCUGGUAUAUGUUCCAAACCUGGUAAAUAAAUGUCAUUUUUAAGAAAAACUCUCAAAUUGAUGGCUCAGUCAAAUACCACCAGUCGUCAUUCUGGACAUGUUAACUAUUGAUGUUGUGACCCUCUCUAACCCUGACUCUACGAAACUGAAUGAAGUAAGGUCAACAAGGCCAGGGAAGAUAUGUCAAUUGUAGAUUCAAAAUUGACCCAAAAUAACUCCAGGCUAAAACCAUUGAACCGAGAGGGGUUAUUAUACUUCAAGGUUGACCUGAUUUAUCCAUGCACAAUACAUCAGAACUCAAUCCUUUGAGAGGAGCUAAGAUGACAUGGUGCCCCAUAACAAAAAAGCGUGUCUUAUAUCAUCCACUUUGUGAAAUAUUGGUCCUAAACACACAGACUUUAAUUUCGUGCUGGUUUUAAAAGUACAUUCACUUUGGUCCAGCAGCAGGGCUGGGGUCAGAUGCCAUGCAUGUUUCACUCUCCCAGCAGACCUCCGGGGGCCUGGGGGUUUCAAAGCUUAGUGAGGGUUCAGUGAGUGACUAAAGUGGCUGUAGCAGACCAUGGACAAACAAAGAAACAUUAUCCUGGGUCCCCAUCCACAUUAUUUAUGAAUGAUACACUUUCUCCUUCUCCUGGUUUUGGUGUGAGAUUUGAUUUCAGUGAACACACAUGGUCAUUUAGACAUAAUGCUGUACUUCACUAUCAGCAAUCUCAGGACCAAACUACUAUUAUAACAAAUAGACGCAAGUGUGAAGGUUCAGUGUUGUAGCGAACUUGAGAUAUGACCAGUAAUUCUUAACAGUGGCUAUAAUGUGACAACUUGGUGAGGUACUGCAGUAAAUGAGUCUGAGAAAAAAAUUAUGCCUCUGAGAAAUGCAGCACUGCCUCUUUGAAGAGCUACAAACAUGGAGUUUGUUGUCAUUAUGUUAAACCUGGUUAAUACACUGUGUGGGUCUGAGUGUCCUACCACAGCGCCCUUCCAGCCCAAGCCACAAUUUACUAGGAAAACAAUCUUCAGUUGGAGGGUGUUGUCUGUUGUGGGUCUGCACUUUAUACAAGUCCCCCCUGUGUCUAGAAUUAAUUAAAUUUCGUUAUCUGGGAAAAUAACGUGAGAAAAAGAAAGAAUGGGACUGGAAGGCAAGUAAUGGUUGAUA